AGUGGCGCACGGGUGCGUAACGCGUGGGAACCUGCCCUUAGGUUCGGAAUAACUCAGAGAAAUUUGAGCUAAUACCGGAUAAUGUCUUCGGACCAAAGAUUUAUCGCCUUUGGAUGGGCCCGCGUAGGAUUAGAUAGUUGGUGGGGUAAUGGCCUACCAAGUCGACGAUCCUUAGCUGGUCUGAGAGGAUGAUCAGCCACACUGGGACUGAGACACGGCCCAGACUCCUACGGGAGGCAGCAGUGGGGAAUAUUGGACAAUGGGCGAAAGCCUGAUCCAGCAAUGCCGCGUGAGUGAUGAAGGCCUUAGGGUUGUAAAGCUCUUUUACCAGGGAUGAUAAUGACAGUACCUGGAGAAUAAGCUCCGGCUAACUCCGUGCCAGCAGCCGCGGUAAUACGGAGGGAGCUAGCGUUGUUCGGAAUUACUGGGCGUAAAGCGCACGUAGGCGGCUUUUCAAGUCAGGGGUGAAAUCCCGGGGCUCAACCCCGGAACUGCCCUUGAAACUGGAUGGCUAGAAUACUGGAG
Molecule: ribosomal RNA, 525 nt
Filed under: Erythrobacter sp. 34M1 FL01
Lineage: Bacteria; Pseudomonadati; Pseudomonadota; Alphaproteobacteria; Sphingomonadales; Erythrobacteraceae
Description: bacterial SSU rRNA
Rfam family: Bacterial small subunit ribosomal RNA
Source: RNAcentral